Molecule: ribosomal RNA, 1478 nt
Filed under: uncultured bacterium
Lineage: Bacteria
Description: bacterial SSU rRNA
Rfam family: Bacterial small subunit ribosomal RNA
Source: RNAcentral
GAUUGAACGCUGGCGGCAGGCCUAACACAUGCAAGUCGAGCGGUAGCACAGAGAGCUUGCUCUCGGGUGACGAGCGGCGGACGGGUGAGUAAUGUCUGGGAAACUGCCUGAUGGAGGGGGAUAACUACUGGAAACGGUAGCUAAUACCGCAUAACGUCGCAAGACCAAAGUGGGGGACCUUCGGGCCUCAUGCCAUCAGAUGUGCCCAGAUGGGAUUAGCUAGUAGGUGGGGUAACGGCUCACCUAGGCGACGAUCCCUAGCUGGUCUGAGAGGAUGACCAGCCACACUGGAACUGAGACACGGUCCAGACUCCUACGGGAGGCAGCAGUGGGGAAUAUUGCACAAUGGGCGCAAGCCUGAUGCAGCCAUGCCGCGUGUGUGAAGAAGGCCUUCGGGUUGUAAAGCACUUUCAGCGGGGAGGAAGGCGUUAAGGUUAAUAACCUUGGCGAUUGACGUUACCCGCAGAAGAAGCACCGGCUAACUCCGUGCCAGCAGCCGCGGUAAUACGGAGGGUGCAAGCGUUAAUCGGAAUUACUGGGCGUAAAGCGCACGCAGGCGGUCUGUCAAGUCGGAUGUGAAAUCCCCGGGCUCAACCUGGGAACUGCAUUCGAAACUGGCAGGCUAGAGUCUUGUAGAGGGGGGUAGAAUUCCAGGUGUAGCGGUGAAAUGCGUAGAGAUCUGGAGGAAUACCGGUGGCGAAGGCGGCCCCCUGGACAAAGACUGACGCUCAGGUGCGAAAGCGUGGGGAGCAAACAGGAUUAGAUACCCUGGUAGUCCACGCCGUAAACGAUGUCGAUUUGGAGGUUGUGCCCUUGAGGCGUGGCUUCCGGAGCUAACGCGUUAAAUCGACCGCCUGGGGAGUACGGCCGCAAGGUUAAAACUCAAAUGAAUUGACGGGGGCCCGCACAAGCGGUGGAGCAUGUGGUUUAAUUCGAUGCAACGCGAAGAACCUUACCUGGUCUUGACAUCCACAGAACUUUCCAGAGAUGGAUUGGUGCCUUCGGGAACUGUGAGACAGGUGCUGCAUGGCUGUCGUCAGCUCGUGUUGUGAAAUGUUGGGUUAAGUCCCGCAACGAGCGCAACCCUUAUCCUUUGUUGCCAGCGGUUCGGCCGGGAACUCAAAGGAGACUGCCAGUGAUAAACUGGAGGAAGGUGGGGAUGACGUCAAGUCAUCAUGGCCCUUACGACCAGGGCUACACACGUGCUACAAUGGCAUAUACAAAGAGAAGCGACCUCGCGAGAGCAAGCGGACCUCAUAAAGUAUGUCGUAGUCCGGAUUGGAGUCUGCAACUCGACUCCAUGAAGUCGGAAUCGCUAGUAAUCGUAGAUCAGAAUGCUACGGUGAAUACGUUCCCGGGCCUUGUACACACCGCCCGUCACACCAUGGGAGUGGGUUGCAAAAGAAGUAGGUAGCUUAACCUUCGGGAGNGGCGCUUACCACUUUGUGAUUCAUGACUGGGGUGAAGUCGUAACAAGG